UGUAGUUAUCUCCCCAGUCAAAAGGCAAGCUAUCAAAAUCAUAAGUACCAAGAAAUUUAGACAACUUAAGGCUGGCAUCUCCAAAAUAUCGGCGACCUUCAACUAGCUUAGCAUAAGGAUCUAAAAGUAUGAUGCUCCUGUCAAAUCGAUGCCCCUGGUGCCAAUUUUGAGGACCAUCUAUCCGAUAACCAUAAAGCACAUUGCUACAAGGCAAAUCCUCAAUACAGAUAUGCCAAAUGUCUCCUGUUUUAUUCACAUGAGGAUCCAAUGCCAGCUCAAUCAAGCUACCACCCAGCCUUUCAUGUGCUUCCCUUUGAGGGAGAGAUAGGCAAAGCGUGACAGAAGUGGCAUGCUGUGAAAAAAUAGCAAAAUUGAUCCCGUUAUCAACUUUAGAUACGCCCAAUGGAAAUGCCUGACCUGGGAAAAUUUUAAAAGUCGGGUCGGUUUCCGACAUUUGAGACGCUUCCUUCUCCUCAAGCACCCGUUCUUGGGCACCACGACCAUAAACACUGGGCUUUCUAUCCUUAUCACGAACCUUUGUCUGACUAAAACUUCGACGGCCACUGCUACUGGAGGCUUGUUUACCCAACUUCAAUCCCAUGUCCAGAACACGAGAAGGUCCAGCAGAAGAAAGGGCAAUGCUGCUGGUGCUGUUAUUAG
This 660-nucleotide unclassified non-coding RNA is filed under the name Hevea brasiliensis (rubber tree). The record is from RNAcentral. Lineage: Eukaryota; Viridiplantae; Streptophyta; Magnoliopsida; Malpighiales; Euphorbiaceae.